Molecule: non-coding RNA, 968 nt
Organism: Camellia sinensis
Lineage: Eukaryota; Viridiplantae; Streptophyta; Magnoliopsida; Ericales; Theaceae
Source: RefSeq, a predicted model, not a curated record
AAUUGCCACCAGCCCAUAGAACAUUUUUCUCUCUAACUUGUCUCUUUUCUCACUAUCAGGUUUCUUUAAAAUUCCAGUUUGCAGUAUUAUUUUUCAGUUGAGUGGUUUUCAACUUUUCGAAAAACAUGCCAAGUCAUCCUUUCCAAUGUUGUUCUGUAUUGUGUUUUAGCUGAAUUAUGCUUUGGUUGCUAAUUUGUAUAUAUCUUGUUGUUUUCUUCUUUCAAAUUUGUCAUGACAACCAUUGCAUGGGACUUUGUGUAUGUUUUUUUGUCUGUGUGGAUAAUAAAAUUAUUAUUUAACGCAUCAGAAAUUCUGCCUUGCAACUAACCCGACUAAAGUGUUUUUUUAUGUUUAUGGGUGGGUGCAUAUUUAAACUUGGAAUGAUAUCUGUUGUGACCUGGAUUUGCGUUAAUGGAGCUUUCCUUUUACAUAUACAGGAGAAUUAUCCAGCAGUGAUGAGAAGAAAUAUAAAGCUCCGAAGCGAGCAACAAAGAGGGAGAUAUCUCAGAGUGCUGAUGUCAUUUGUUGCACAUGUGUUGGUGCUGGCGAUCCUCGAUUGGCUAAUUUUAGAUUUCGCCAGGUCCUUAUUAAUGAAUCUACUCAAGCAACUGAGCCCGAGUGUCUUAUUCCCUUGGUUCUUGGCGUGAAGCAGGUUGUUCUCGUUGGUGACCAUUGGAUAAUAGAUGUCUCGCUGAUUCACAUAAAUAUGAAACCACACCCAUAUAAAAAGUUUAAUAAAAAAUUUAAUAAACUAUUUAGUAUCCUAGCAUGACUCAUUAAUUUUUACUCCCAUUUAACAGAUUUCCUUCUUUAAAAUGCCACCAGCCCAUAGAACAUUUUUCUCUCUAACUUGUCUCUUUUCUCUACUCAACAUAUAAGUAAUUGAUGACAAUGAAAAUGAAAACCCACUAAGAGAAGAGAGAACAAAGAAAAUUCAAUGCACAAACUUGAGAGUCCAUAGAUCAACA